UUAAACAUAACUAAAAUCCCUUACAAUACAAUACAUUACUGAAAAGAACUACUCAAUAGCUUACCUAUUCAGAACGAAUCAAAGAACCCCCAAAAGCACAAUAAGACAACACAAAUGGCAAUCGAAAUUGAAGAGGGAAGCAAUAGAAAAUUUUUUAGAGAAAAGAAAAGAAGAGAAAAAUGUCAGAAAAAGAAAGAUUUGGGAAAGAAAGAAAAAAAAGUCUGAAUGUGGAGAAGGAUUUUGGUGAAAAGAAAAAUAAAAAAUAAAAAAUAAAAUUCUAAAAAAAACAAUAAACCACUAAAUUCCCCAACUCCCCACAAACCCACUAACCAACAUUAUCCCACAUAAUCCUACCACUAACCAUAUCCAACUACCUCAAAAUUUCAACUCCACCGAAUGUUUACCACACAACCG
This 414-nucleotide long non-coding RNA is filed under the name Gossypium raimondii (Peruvian cotton). RNAcentral's name for it is "long non-coding RNA (GRAI_LNC009356)". The record is from RNAcentral. Lineage: Eukaryota; Viridiplantae; Streptophyta; Magnoliopsida; Malvales; Malvaceae.